CCUCAGCUUCCUUCUUAUCUGAAAAGGGAAGAGAACACCGUUGCUACUAGUUGUGGGGCAAUGCCGAUCUGCGUAAGGGACCUUCGCAAAACGCCCUUCAAGAAGAGCCGAGGGAAGAACAUUUAGUCUGAUCAAAUAUAAAGAAAGAGAUUCUUUAGUUCCCAAUGACUUGUAACUUUGGGCAAAGAGAGAAAUUGUCUGGGAUCUUCUUGCUUUCAAGAGCAGACAAUAAUUAUUUUAGUCUAAUGAUUAUCUCGAACUGCUCAUCUGGAGUGAAAUCUUUAUAAGAAACAAGAAGAAAGAACUCCUCAGGCAUGAACAGAUGGCGCCCGCAUCUCAGCCCAUCCAUAGGAGUUCCCAUUUGCUCAUCCAGUCCCGAUCCAGGAAUCAGUUCCCAGACAAGUAGUAUUCCUACCUCGAGAUUACUUAAGGGGCCUGGAAGGGGGGCAUGUCCCAGUGCUGUAACAACAUUUUCACUUG
Rhineura floridana is the source of this 480-nucleotide long non-coding RNA. RefSeq lists it as uncharacterized. NCBI's taxonomy places the organism in Eukaryota, Metazoa, Chordata, Lepidosauria, Squamata, Rhineuridae. The transcript is spliced from 5 exons. The record is from RefSeq and is a predicted model, not a curated record.